UAUUGGCCAAUGGGCGAAAGCCUGAUCCAGCAAUGCCGCGUGUGUGAAGAAGGUCUUCGGAUUGUAAAGCACUUUAGACGGGGACGAUGAUGACGGUACCCGUAGAAGAAGCCCCGGCUAACUUCGUGCCAGCAGCCGCGGUAAUACGAAGGGGGCUAGCGUUGCUCGGAAUGACUGGGCGUAAAGGGCGCGUAGGCGGCGGUGUAAGUCAGACGUGAAAUUCCUGGGCUCAACCUGGGGACUGCGUUUGAGAUUGCAUUGCUAGAGGAUGGAAGAGGCUCGUGGAAUUCCCAGUGUAGCAGGUGAAAUUCGUAGAUAUUGGGAAGAACACCGGUGGCGAAGGCGGCGACCUGGUCCGUUACUGACGCUCAGGCACGAUA
This 380-nucleotide ribosomal RNA is filed under the name uncultured bacterium. Its description in RNAcentral is "bacterial SSU rRNA". It matches the Rfam family "Bacterial small subunit ribosomal RNA", at positions 362 to 758 of the family's 1533-position model. The record is from RNAcentral.